RNAcentral lists this long non-coding RNA (2528 nucleotides) under Olea europaea subsp. europaea. The record is from RNAcentral. Lineage: Eukaryota; Viridiplantae; Streptophyta; Magnoliopsida; Lamiales; Oleaceae.
GUAAGUUCUCUAACCAACAAUAUCACUAAGUACGUAAAUGAAAACAGUACAGCAUCACCAUGAAAGGAAUAAAAGUUCUUCAAACUGAGAAAAUAACACAAUACUUCAACCAUCAACAUCACAAAUUAAAACAACACGAUACUAGAGAAAUUAAAACAACAGUCACAUUAAAGUAAUUCCAAGACAAAUCAUUUCCUUGCUUCUGGCAUCUUCACAAAUGACGCUCUGAAAUCGGGAUCUAUAAAAGCCUUUAUUGCUUUCAUAUAAAUCUCAUUGGACACCCCUUCCAUAUUGUUUAAGAUGUCUAGGCAAAUAAUAUUUGAAUAAGGAUCCGGAUUAUUAACUUCACUAUCCGAUUAAUUACAUGAUUUUCCUUGGAACUUUGCAAGCUUUUCUUUUAGGUAAAGUAUUCUAAGUUCAAAUUCUUCAUUCCUCAAACUAACUGUAGAUGACCAUUGUGCCAUGCACGUCUCGAGUUUAUCAAUUUUGCUAAUCUUAGGUUCCUUACGUCGGCGUUCACUCAAUAUACCAAUUUCAUCACGUCGAUGAGUAUUUGAAACCUCAUCGACUUCAUCAUCAUUUUCCGCACGUACAUGCACUCCCCUAUUCAAAAAAUCAUCUUCUAGCUAUCUUUCUUCCUCUGAUGUGUUAAGAAGUUGAGUUGAAGCAUUACCUAAUCCUCCAGUAGCUGUAGUCCCUCUAAAUAUCUUCCCAAGAGUGUGAUAGUGCUUACAUAUUCCCUCUCGAACAUCUUGUAAUCCGAUUUGUUAAUCUACUAUUGAAAAAAGAAGCCACAUUGUCAUAGUAAUCAACAAAAAAAUGUAAAAUUGAUAAGCUAAAAACUAAUGACGAAAAUAUUCUUUAAUAAAUAUAUGUUACCGUAUAAAAGUGUUACCAAACUUCAUUUGCAGCAUUAACUUUGUUGAUAUUUGGAUCCCAUAUAAUACCUGUAUGUCCCAAAAGUUCAGAGAACAUUCGAUAAAUCUUACUUAAGCGGUUCCACUUUCCCUUUAAUCUAUCUAUGCCGUAAUCCAUUUUUGUUGAAACUAUCAUGGCUUCAUUGAUCUUGCCCCAUUCGUCUUUCAUGAAUGUAGAAUAUUGCAAUGCGUUUGAUUUCACUUUCUCGUAAAGAAUUUCGAUAAAAGCGUGUUCAUUCUCGUUGGACCAUGACAUUGGUUCCUUAUUCCUAACUCUGUGACCACCCAUGUUAAAGCUAUAUUGAAUAUACAUCAAAUUAAGCAAAACAUAGCAUAUUAGAACAGCCUUACUAUAACAUGUAGCAUAAUUGGAUUUUGUAAAAUGAAGACCAGUAGGAUGCCUAAAACCUUCAAUGCCCAAGAAAUAGCUCAAAGAUCCCAGAAUUUUCAAGCAAACUUGCAAUAAUUUGGAAGUUUCCUUGUAAUAACUAUUGGCUGAUUCAUUAGGAGUUAAGAUUUGACUCAUCGAAACAAUAAAAGUUCCAAUCACUAUCCAUAAGCUUAGAAAGUAAUUAAUACAGUAAUUGAAUCACCAAGACAAGAAGAACAGACUAAUUCAGGAUAAUUGAUUAUUUUCCUUCUUCUCCCUAAUAUGUUUAGGUAAUUGUAGGUGGGGAGAAUUUAACUAAUGAAAACAUAGUUAUCAAAGUAUAUUACUAUAACGUGUUUAAUUACCAAGAAUUCUCAUAAUUUUUCAUUUCAUAAAUACUCAAAUACUUUCAUUUUUGUAGAUGGUGUCAGUGUCAUUAAAGAUACAAUAGCUGAUUUGAUUAUAAUUCUAUAUACAAUUCUCAGUUCAAUCUUGCAAGACACCGUUAAUCACACAAAACCAUAGAUGUGAUCUUCAACAUAACCCAAUCAAACUUCCUUAAUUCUCCAAGUAACACCAUCUUCAAUUCUUACAACAAAUCAUAAAAGACAAUGCAACUCUACAAAAAAAAAAUCAGAGUAUUCUGCGUUCAAAAUAUCCAAACCUUGUCGAUUUCUGUUACAGAAUAGAAGAGAACAAUAACUGUGCUGAAUAUGCAAAAUAACAUUAAUUCCAAUUGAAGACACAACCCAAAAUGUUAGGAAUCCACACAAUAUUUAGAUAUCAAUUUUGAUCAACUUUUAUACACGUUAACAUGAAAAAUCCACCAAAUGGGUUUUACCCAAUUCAGAAACACAAGUAGAACAAAAAAUUCAACAAUCACGCAGAAAUAAAUAUAGAUUUUUGCAGAAAAACUAAAUGGGCUAUCAUCUAUUCGUUCAAAGAACAACAAAUUGAAGGCACAUUAAAAAACCAGCAAACAAACUAAAUAAGUGGUUGGAUUAAUACAGCAAAAUUAAUGUAGUAUGGAUGAAGAACGCUAGCUAUAGUGCCCAAUAAAAGUAGAGGCAGCAAUGAUUUAGUGAAAGCUCACAAAAGAAAUACCUAGAGCAGAAAAUAGGAGCUGAGGAUAGGACAUGAGGAUUGAUCUUCGAGAGUUUUUAGUCUGCGAACGGGGAGGCAGAGGAAACCCUAGGAAAUCUGCUAGGAAUGGGAUAGAGAGUAAAAAGAUAGAGAGAGGU